Molecule: long non-coding RNA, 483 nt
Filed under: Equus caballus (horse)
Lineage: Eukaryota; Metazoa; Chordata; Mammalia; Perissodactyla; Equidae
Description: lncRNA (ENSECAG00000047426.1)
Source: RNAcentral
AGCGGGAAAGUGAUGGGAAAUCAGGUGUUUCCACUUCUUGGGGCCCCUCACUUCCUGUUUCUCAGGAUCAGAUGAGAUGGGAACCAGUCCGGGAGAUGGACGACGAUGACAUGCAUCUGUUUGUGGCAGGUUGGAGCAGAACUGGUGUGCAGGACAUACUUCAUCAAGAGAUGGAGGAAUAGACAGAGAUGAAGGGAAAUUUCCCCGGAGCUCACGCUAGUUCACGGCGCCGCAAGGACUCGGUUCCAGGAUUCAGUUCAAUAGAUAUUUAUCAGACGUCUUCUGCGAGGGUUUGAUAGCUACAUGGAGACUAGCGGCUCCCACGCUGGACAACAGAUACAGAAGAUUUUGAUUGUUGCCGAAGUUCCAUCAGACAGCACUGCUGUAGGAGGACACAGGUGGAGAAACCUGAAAGCAUGGUGUAAAGCAGAAGGUGAAAACAGAGGUACAAACUAACUGCCCUGGGGCUGAGGGAGUGGUUUC